RNAcentral lists this transfer RNA (74 nucleotides) under Thermoplasmata archaeon. RNAcentral describes it as "tRNA-Lys". It matches the Rfam family "tRNA". From Rfam's summary of the family: Transfer RNA (tRNA) molecules are approximately 80 nucleotides in length. Lineage: Archaea; Methanobacteriati; Thermoplasmatota; Thermoplasmata. The record is from RNAcentral. RNAcentral also lists the same sequence under 1 other name.
GGGCCUGUAGCUCAGCUAGGUAGAGCGUCUGGCUUUUAACCAGAUGGUCUGGGGUUCGAAUCCCCACAGGCCCA